UACGUAGGGGCAAGCGUUAUCCGGAUUUACUGGGUGUAAAGGGAGCGUAGACGGUUAUGCAAGUCUGGAGUGAAAGGCGGGGGCUCAACCCCCGGACUGCUCUGGAAACUGUAGAACUAGAGUGCAGGAGGGGUAAGUGGAAUUCCUAGUGUAGCGGUGAAAUGCGUAGAUAUUAGGAGGAACACCAGUGGCGAAGGCGACUUACUGGACUGUAACUGACGCUGAGGCAUGAGAGCAUGGGGAGCAAACGAGG
Molecule: ribosomal RNA, 253 nt
Filed under: uncultured bacterium
Lineage: Bacteria
Description: partial 16S ribosomal RNA
Rfam family: Bacterial small subunit ribosomal RNA
Source: RNAcentral